CCAAUAGCGUAUAUUAAAGUUGUUGCAGUUAAAAAGCUCGUAGUUGAAUUUCGGGGUCAGUAGGUUGGUCGUGCCACGGGUAUGUACUGGUCUCACUGAUUCCUCCUUCCUGAUGAACCGUAAUGCCAUUAAUUUGGUGUUGCGGGGAAACUGGACUGUUACUUUGAAAAAAUUAGAGUGUUUAAAGCAGGCUAACGCCUGAAUACAUUAGCAUGGAAUAAUGAAAUAGGACGUUCGAUCCUAUUUUGUUGGUUUCUAGGAUUGACGUAAUGAUUAAUAGGGAUAGUUGGUGGCAUUAGUAUUCAAUUGUCAGCGGUGAAAUUCUUGGAUUUAUUGAAGACUAACUACUGCGAAAGCAUUUGCCAAGGAUGUUUUCAUUAAUCAAGAACGAAAGUUAGAGGAUCGAAGACGAUCAGAUACCGUCGUAGUCUUAACCAUACACUAUGCCGACUAGGGAUCGGAUGAUGUUAAUUUUUUAAUGACUCAUUAGGCGCCUUACG
This 500-nucleotide ribosomal RNA is filed under the name uncultured Glomeromycotina. Its description in RNAcentral is "partial small subunit ribosomal RNA". It matches the Rfam family "Eukaryotic small subunit ribosomal RNA", at positions 591 to 1092 of the family's 1831-position model. Lineage: Eukaryota; Fungi; Glomeromycota. The record is from RNAcentral.